ACGAGACAAGGAAAGAAGACGAAGAGUGACAAUCACAGCCACAACACAUACGGGGAGUUUUUUUGGUUUUUGUUUGUUUUUUUGUUUUGGAAUUUUUUUUU
RNAcentral lists this non-coding RNA (101 nucleotides) under Porphyridium aerugineum. The record is from RNAcentral. Lineage: Eukaryota; Rhodophyta; Bangiophyceae; Porphyridiales; Porphyridiaceae.